Molecule: ribosomal RNA, 998 nt
Filed under: Amoebophrya sp.
Lineage: Eukaryota; Dinophyceae; Syndiniales; Amoebophryaceae
Description: SSU rRNA
Rfam family: Eukaryotic small subunit ribosomal RNA
Source: RNAcentral
UUUCGCCAGAAUACAUUAGCAUGGAAUAAUACUAUAGGAUCUUGGUUCUAUUUUGUUGGUUUCUAGAAUUGAGAUAAUGAUUAAUAGGGACAAUUGGGGGCAUUCGUAUCAACACGUCAGAGGUGGAAUUCUUGGAUUGUGUUGCGACGAACUACUGCGAAAGCAUUUGCCAAGGAUGUUUUCAUUGAUCAAGAACGAAAGUAAGGGGAUCGAAGACGAUUGGAUACCGUCGUAGUCUUUACCAUAAACUAUGCCGACUAGAGAUGGGGCAUCGUUCAUUUACGACUUGCUCCGCACCUUAUGAGAUAUCAAAGUUUUUGGGUUCCGGGGGGAGUAUGGUCGCAAGACUGAAACUUAAAGGAAUUGACGGAAGGGCACCACCAGGAGUGGAGCCUGCGGCUUAAUUUGACUCAACACGGGGAAACUCACCAGGUCCAGACAUAAUAAGGAUUGACAGAUUGAUAGCUCUUUCUUGAUUUUAUGAGUGGUGGUGCAUGGCCGUUCUUAGUUCGUGGAGUGAUUUGUCUGCUUAAUUGCGUUAACGAACGAGACCUUAACCUGCUAAAUAGGAGCGCCUAUCUUCGGAUAAGCGUCUUUCUUCUUAGAGGGACUUUAUGCGUUUCAGCAUGAGGAAGUUUGAGGCUAAAACAGGUCUGUGAUGCCCUUCGAUGUUCUGGGCUGCACGCGCGCUACACUGAUGCGUUCAACGAGUGUACAACCUUGCCCGAUAGGGUUGGGUAACCUUUUGAACACGCAUCGUGAUGGGGAUAGAUUAUUGCAAUUAUUAAUCUUCAACGAGGAAUUCCUAGUAAUGGCGAAUCAUCAGUUCGUCGUGAUUACGUCCCUGCCCUUUGUACACACCGCCCGUCGCUCCUACCGAUUGAGCAAUCCGGUGAAUAUUUCGGACCGAAUAGCUGCGGGGCAACCCAUAGCCGUUUGGAAAGUCAAGUAAACCUUGUUGCUUAGAGGAAGGAGAAGUCGUAACAAGGUUUCCGUAG